AGAGCCUCAAUCUUCGGAUGGUAA
This 24-nucleotide non-coding RNA is filed under the name Arabidopsis thaliana (thale cress). The record is from RNAcentral. Lineage: Eukaryota; Viridiplantae; Streptophyta; Magnoliopsida; Brassicales; Brassicaceae.